AAAAUGACUUUCUUUCUUUCAACAAUAAAUCGAUAUUGUACUAAUUAAAGAAAAGGACUAUUUGCCUACUGGAACACCAAUUAAUGUCAUGUCCCCAUAUUAAAUUCGAAUAAACCAUAGGAUUUAUCUUAAUAGUUUUUCUUUCAGGUAGGUACUCUAAUUUAUGCCCGUGUAGUCAAGGCCAACACUGGAAUGAACCCUGAGCUAUCUUGCAUGGAUGCUUCUGGAAAAGCUGCCGAGUUUGGCCUCAUCAAGGGUGGCUAUAUGUUUGAAUCGUCAACUGGUUUAUCACGGAUGUUGCUGAGUUCACCAACAUGUCCAGUUCUUGAGGGUCUUGGAA
This is a non-coding RNA of Nicotiana tabacum (common tobacco), 340 nucleotides long. The record is from RefSeq and is a predicted model, not a curated record. NCBI's taxonomy places the organism in Eukaryota, Viridiplantae, Streptophyta, Magnoliopsida, Solanales, Solanaceae.